RNAcentral lists this unclassified non-coding RNA (328 nucleotides) under Hevea brasiliensis (rubber tree). The record is from RNAcentral. Lineage: Eukaryota; Viridiplantae; Streptophyta; Magnoliopsida; Malpighiales; Euphorbiaceae.
CCCUAUUUCAACUCUAAUUAAUGCGUAUGCUGUAAAAAGUUCAGCCCUUUUUUCGUCUAGGACAAAAAAUAAAAGAAUCUGUGAACCGGUCAAUUUGGGAAAUCUGCUGGUUUUGGGUGUCAAUGCUGGUUGUGUAGAGGGUUAUGCAUAAGGAAAAGCUAAUUGGUCGCAAAUCUAAGUAAAUAUAGCCAUUUUCUGCUUCUGGGUUGAGUUGUUUAGCGAUGGAGAAAUCGAAGAUUGACCUUAUUGUUGGUGGCAAAUUUAAGCUAGGAAGGAAGAUUGGGAGUGGAUCCUUUGGAGAGCUCUAUCUGGGUGUAAAUGUGCAAAC